RNAcentral lists this ribosomal RNA (463 nucleotides) under uncultured bacterium. Its description in RNAcentral is "partial 16S ribosomal RNA". It matches the Rfam family "Bacterial small subunit ribosomal RNA", at positions 28 to 507 of the family's 1533-position model. The record is from RNAcentral.
GAUGAACGCUGACAGAAUGCUUAACACAUGCAAGUCGAUGGGGAAGUGGUGCUUGCACCAUGGCAACCAUGGCGGACGGGUGAGUAACGCGUAAGGGACUUACCUGCAGGACUGGGAUAACAGGGGGAAACUCCUGACAAGACCGGAUAAUGUCAUGGAGCUGCAUGGCUUUAUGAUGAAAGGAGACGCCUGCGGAGAGCCUUGCGUCCUAUUAGCUAGUUGGUGAGGUAAUGGCUCACCAAGGCGAAGAUAGGUAGCCGGCCUGAGAGGGUGGACGGCCCACAGGGGAAUGGGGUACCGCCCUUAACUCUAACGGGGGCAAGCGUGGGGAAUAAUGGACCAUGGGGGCAAACCUUGUUCCGCCAUUACUUGGGGAAGAAAGAGGUUUUUGGGAUGUAAAGUGCUUUCAGCAGGGAAGAAGUAAGUGACGGUACCUGCAGAAGAAGCGACGGCUAAAUACGUG